RNAcentral lists this ribosomal RNA (492 nucleotides) under uncultured bacterium. RNAcentral describes it as "partial 16S ribosomal RNA". It matches the Rfam family "Bacterial small subunit ribosomal RNA", at positions 29 to 507 of the family's 1533-position model. The record is from RNAcentral.
AGUGAACGCUGGCGGUAGGCCUAACACAUGCAAGUCGAACGGCAGCACAGUAAGAGCUUGCUCUUACGGGUGGCGAGUGGCGGACGGGUGAGGAGUACAUCGGAAUCUACUUUUUCGUGGGGGAUAACGUAGGGAAACUUACGCUAAUACCGCAUACGACCUACGGGUGAAAGCAGGGGAUCUUCGGACCUUGCGCGAUUGAAUGAGCCGAUGUCGGAUUAGCUAGUUGGCGGGGUAAAGGCCCACCAAGGCGACGAUCCGUAGCUGGUCUGAGAGGAUGAUCAGCUACACUGGAACUGAGACACGGUCCAGACUCCUACGGGAGGCAGCAGUGGGGAAUAUUGGACAAUGGGCGCAAGCCUGAUCCAGCCAUACCGCGUGGGUGAAGAAGGCCUUCGGGUUGUAAAGCCCUUUUGUUGGGAAAGAAAAGCAGCAGGUUAAUACCCCGCUGUUCUGACGGUACCCAAAGAAUAAGCACCGGCUAACUUCGUG